GUUCCUGUAGUUGAGUACAACAUUAGCUUUUCGAGCUUGAGGUCCAGGUCAAGGUCUUGGCAGGAAUA
RNAcentral lists this transfer RNA (68 nucleotides) under Cornufer vitianus (Fiji ground frog). Its description in RNAcentral is "Platymantis vitianus (Fiji ground frog) tRNA-Glu". It matches the Rfam family "tRNA". From Rfam's summary of the family: Transfer RNA (tRNA) molecules are approximately 80 nucleotides in length. Their secondary structure includes four short double-helical elements and three loops (D, anti-codon, and T loops). Further hydrogen bonds mediate the characteristic L-shaped molecular structure. tRNAs have two regions of fundamental functional importance: the anti-codon, which is responsible for specific mRNA codon recognition, and the 3' end, to which the tRNAs corresponding amino acid is attached (by aminoacyl-tRNA synthetases). tRNAs cope with the degeneracy of the genetic code in two manners: having more than one tRNA (with a specific anti-codon) for a particular amino acid; and 'wobble' base-pairing, i.e. permitting non-standard base-pairing at the 3rd anti-codon position. Lineage: Eukaryota; Metazoa; Chordata; Amphibia; Anura; Ceratobatrachidae. The record is from RNAcentral.